Xenia sp. Carnegie-2017 is the source of this 150-nucleotide long non-coding RNA. RefSeq lists it as uncharacterized. Lineage: Eukaryota; Metazoa; Cnidaria; Anthozoa; Malacalcyonacea; Xeniidae. The record is from RefSeq and is a predicted model, not a curated record. The transcript has 3 exons.
ACAAUGAAAAUCCUGGUAGAAUGAAAUCAGGGAUGACAUUCACAAUCGAGCCAAUUCUUAUUGAGGGGCAUACAGAUUUUGAGAUUUUAGAAGAUGGUUGGACGUGUGUAUCAUCGGAUGGAACCAGAUCAGCGCAGUUUGAACAUACCA